Cuculus canorus (common cuckoo) is the source of this 1948-nucleotide long non-coding RNA. RefSeq lists it as uncharacterized. The record is from RefSeq and is a predicted model, not a curated record. NCBI's taxonomy places the organism in Eukaryota, Metazoa, Chordata, Aves, Cuculiformes, Cuculidae. The transcript is spliced from 4 exons.
AGUUCAUAUCUGCAGUAAGGUCUGUGGAGGGAGAAUAGAGAUUAUUUGAGCUGCAAACUGUCUGGAUGGAAUAAACCACAAGACUAGGGGAACACUGGAGAAAAAUCAAGUUGAUUUUGAUACAGAACUAUGUCAGAUAUAGCACUAAAUGCUUCUGCCACUUGGAAGAGUCUGGAAACUGUAGCGUAUAUCACUCCUCUGCCUUCUGAACUUGGAAAGAGUAACAGCUUUUCUACAACAGUUUCUCCUUGGCACACCCUUUGGCAAAACUGAGGAUCUGUGCAUUAACCUUGAAGGAGGAAACAGAAGCUUUGUUAUUGGGAGUUACUGAACUAAUUAAGCAGCUGAAGGGUGGUUGUAAGGAGGCAUUAAAAGCGUGGAGGAGAAAGAUUGGCAUGAAAAUUGAUUGUAUGUCACUUUGGAGACCUCAGCAGCUCCCCACAGCCAUGCAAAAAGAAUAUGAAAUGUGUGUUCAAGAUACCUUGGAGCUAGAACAGCAUUUUGAUCAUAAAAGGCAUCAGAUAUGACAAGUACAAAACCAAAUACUUCUGACAGAAACAAUCAACAGAAAGAUUCAGGAGGAUAUAGACUUCAUGAAGAAACACAGCCCUCUGCUGGAAGAAAAGCUGAAUCUAUAGAGUGAAGCUGUGAAGGAUGCAUUACAGGCUUGUGAAGAGGUACAUACCAACAGUACUAAGAUGUUUCUUUUAGAACCUUUUCCCUACACAGGUAAAUACCCUUUCCUUUAGAGAACAGCAGUCUUCUGGAAGUACCAAAUCCUGGUAUAAAUUUUGUGCACAAAGACUGUGAAUUGUGUGCCCAUACAGCUGCAUACAGGCACUCAGAGCAAACUGAAUCAAGGAAGGGUAAUGCUGUUGGCCAUUAAUAAAAGUCUCAUGAGCAUAUAUGGAAUGUAAUUCUAACUCUGUAAGUUGAUUUCAUGAGGGAUUUUUCAGAAGAAAGGUAGAAGGCACAUAUCUGAUAUUUGCAUAGAUUCUUCUCAGGUUUCUCACAGACAGCAGCAUUUGUGCCAGAAUAUGGAGAUGUUAGAAGCUGUCAAAAAAUGUUUGGGAGAUUUAAUUAUUUUUAAGUGUUGAUGGAUAUUUUUCCUAAUUUAUUUGUUAAUAUUAUUUAUUAACAACAAUAUUGAUAAUGAUUUAUUAUUUGGUGAUAAUAAAUGCCUAAUGUGGAUAAUGUCAGACUGAAUAAUCGAAGUGUUUCAAAGUUGUAGGCAGCUUAAGACUGAUGUCCAAAAAGAGAAGGAUGCUGUGUUACUUCAAAUACAGAUUUAAAUACUAAUUAUUGUGUUUUAUAUCUAUUUACUAUAGUAACCUUUAAGUAAAAAUCUAGAGAUUAAUCUAUUCUUCAAGGUAGUUACAACCUAAAAAUGGUCUUCUGUUUGUAGGUGAUUCUUAAUAAAUAUUGCUUCUUUUAGUUCGUUUUAUUUUGAACUCAUAUUUUAAGGACUCAACAGUCAUAUCAAAAUACUUAUAAAAUUAAAAAGUUACAUGCCAAUUACACAAAUAAUAUGAGAAUUAUCAUGAAGUAGAUCUGAUCCGUGAAAUAGCUCACAGUUCUAUGGAUAUUAUGAGAUACGUUCAAAAUACCAGCUAAUUAAAAAUCAAGUUGGUUAUUUGGAGUUUUAUUUUAUAUCCUUUUUUUCUUUUUAAUGUCUUAGAAUAUAAUGCAGGCAAAAUAUUGAUAUAUACUAAAAUACAGCUCAGUAAGUAGAUUUAAAAUACUUUUUUAUGGACUGUUUUAAAUAAAUACCUUUUUUCAGGGUUUUUUUUCCUCCUUUCGAAAAAGUGACACUAUAUACGAUAAGAACGUAGAUUUGAUGUUACUGUAACUUAUGUAUUUCAUUUCCACAAAAUUUCUAAUUGCCAGAUAAAUUAUUUAAUACUUCCACUGUACUCUAAUCUGUAUGCUGUUUGUUACUUAUGUUUGU